AGUUCUCCCAACCAUUAGUUAUAAAGAAUCAUCUAGUUAUGGAGAAAUCACUAACCCUUUGGGAAUCCUGUCCCAUAGCUGAAAUCUACAUUCCUCCAAUUGUCUGGCAAGUUUUAAAGUUGUUAUUUCUUUGUUUGUUUCAACAGAUUUGUCCCUAAUCAUGUGGAAAGGGCUGCUAAAAUACAGAAUGUACUUACUCCAAGUGAGAUUCCCAGUUCACAGAUACAGUAGUAAACCUAAUUUGCAAAUAAGCCACAGUCAUACACAUAAUAUUUCACACACAUAUUAAUAUUGUUAAUAUUAAUAUUAAGCAGUUAUUUGCAAAACAAAUUGGUACAAUUUCUUUAUAAGAUUGUUUUACAGGAUUUUAUCAGCUGUUGCAAGAAAAGAACUGAGCUGCAAAAGGGAUUGGAGUUGUAUCUCAUUACUCUUCCUUAGGGAGGGUAUUGAAUUUGGUUAAAAAUCAGUCCACUCCUUUAGAAAGUAUGUUGCAGAGAGACAAAUGCAAAAUGCCAGAUGGUGGAGUUGAAACAGAGACCUCAUGGAAAUCCGGACACAGACAUGCGCAGAGGGAGAAGGCUAUGUGAGGAAGAAGGCAGUGGUUGGAGUGAUGAUUCUCCAAGCCUAGGAAGGCCAGUGACUGGCAGCAAAGCACCAGAAACGAGGGGAAGAAACAUGGAACCGAUUCCUUCUCAGGCCUCAGGAGGAACCAACCCAGACGAACCUUGAUCUCAGGCUCUAGCCUCUGUUGCAAUAAAACAUUUUAUUGUUGAA
This 774-nucleotide long non-coding RNA is filed under the name Homo sapiens (human). Its description in RNAcentral is "HSALNT0394396". Lineage: Eukaryota; Metazoa; Chordata; Mammalia; Primates; Hominidae. The record is from RNAcentral.